GCUGAACCCCUGUAUAACACACAGUUCCCUAUCUCCAAUUGUGGUUUUGCCUCAGUGGUAAGCACUUCUUGUCAAACAAGUCAAGGUACCCAAAUUUCAUUAAAGCACCUACCUACUGCCACCAUUGAUAAGACCCUGAUAUGUUCCAGAGCCUAAGAAACAGUUUUUGGAGGGCAGAAGACUUGCAUGAAAAAAGCACUUUCUACUUAGGCAAAGUCAUCAUUGGAGGCAACCCAUUAUUGUUGCUUUAUUUUAAUAAUCUAGGUUUAAUUAUUUAGAUUUCAGUGUUAAAAAUGUUCAUACUUGAACUUUAAAACAUACCCUGAAGAAUUUGCAUAAAAUGUCCAAGUUUAUACUAGUUGCAAGAUUUAGAAUUCUGAAGCACACUAAAAAGAGAGAGGUGGGUUUUGUUUCAUUUUUAAGAGAAUUGUUUUGUUUGGAAGGAAAAUGCCGAGAGCCAUUUAGCCCUAUCUGUCAUCUUAAUAUUUCAUAAGAUAAAAAAUUAUACCAAGGCAGAACCAUUUCACUUUCAUUAAAAAUCAGUGCCUCAACAAGAUUAUAGCUAGAAGAGUCUAAGGAAGCAAUAUUUACAUUAAUGUCAAGAAAGUCAACAUUUAUUAUUGUUACUUUGAAAAGAAGCUUUCUUUUGCCAAAUGGCUUCUUUUUCUCAUGUCUAUUUAUUUUCCAUACAAAUAGCAUAUAUUUAAAAAUCCCCAUUUGUAAUAUGAGAGUUGAAUGAACAUGCUUGGUUAGAGAUUAUUAUGGGCUUGUUGCUCAUUCUUCCUCUGGUGGUUCUCUCUCAUUCCAUUACCUAAAAUCUUCCUUUAAACCCUCAUAUUAAAUGUUUGAGCCAACAUGUCUGCCUUCAAUGUCACAUGAUGCCCUUGCAGUGCUGGAAAACAUGGUGGUUGUUUUGGUACAUUGGCUGGUAGGGGGGAUACAUCCUCACAAAUUAAUUUGUGUAGGAAAUGUAAUUAUUUUUAUUGUUUACUUCUAAUUACCGCCCCCCUUUCAUUUUUAUCAUUUUGCAAAGGUCUCUUUUACUCCUCUCCCAUCUUUGUUUUAUUUUCGUUUUAACUCAUGUAACCCUUCUUAUCUCUUGACAGGAAACAAUCUUCAAUCUAUUUUUCCCUCUCUCUUGCUGAGCAAGGACAGGUGAAGGAUAUUUUCCUACUGCAGCUGGGGUAGAAGAUAGAUCUGAGGAUUAAACAUUUAUUUCUGAUACCUGGAAAAAAAGUGGUGAUGAUUCUCAGAGGAUUCUCAUAGAGUUACAUCUCAUGGGCGAAGCUGUCAUCUGAAUCUAAAUUCUGUCAACCAAAUGUUUAGCACAGUCCUCUGCAUGCUUAUACAUGUAAUGUGCACACAGCCAAGAACAAAGCUUAUUUUGAUCUUCUCUCAUCUAUUUCAUUGUGCUGAUUCCUACACACAGAGACUAAACAUCACAGUAUUUGGUCUCUUGCACUGUGUUCUUCUUAAAUUGACAACUAGACGGAUUUCAUGGUUCUGACAGCAGUAGAAUUGAGUUUUACAUUUUUUUUCCAGAUUCAUUGGCAGCUGCUGGCCAACAGGAAAUGUGUGGGCUGAUGAAAUACCAGCAGUGCUGAAGGCAGGGCAUGCACUUCCUCCCUCUGACAACUUGUAUGCUGUCUUAUUACUUAUACCUUCAGUUUCAAAUUCUGCUGGAUAGGAGUACAUUGUUUAGCUGUACAGUAGCUACAACAGAUUAAGUAUUGUUCUGAAUACCCACACUGGGUCCCUUUCAAGCCUGUGGUUUUGUAUCUGUAAAAUGGGAUUCUUACUGCUUUAGUGGAAGACGCUGCUUAAGUGGUCAAAUCAGGGGCCUUAAGCCAAGUCAUAAAAUCAUAGUUAGAGGUGACCAUGAGGAUCAUCUAGUCCAACCCUCUGCAAUGCAGGAAUCUUUCACCCAAUGUCGGCCUGUUAAGCAUUUAUUGGUGUGACAAUAAAGGUAAAGGACCCCUGGACGGUUAAGUCCAGUCAAAGGUGACUGGGGCGAAGCGCUCAUUUCGCUUUCAGGCUAAGGAAGCCAGUGUUUGUUCACAGACAGCUUUUCUGGGUCAUGUGGCCAGUACGACUAAACUGCUUCUGGCACAACGGGACACAGUGACGGAAACCAGAGCACACAGAAGCUGUUUACCUUCCCGCCACAGUGGUACCUAUUUACUUCCACUGGUGUACUUUUGAACUGCUAGGUUGGCAGGAGCUGGGACAGAGCAACAGGAGCUCACCCCUGAUCAGCAAGCCCAAGAGGCUCAAUGGUUUAGACACAUCGCCACUCAUGUCCCUAAUUAGUGUGACUAAUUAGCUGGUGAAGGACAGGUGUGUUGCCUAGAAACAACUAGCUAGUGAUGCUUUCAGCCCCCUCACCUGGCUGGAGGCAAUGUCAUUGUAAGUGCAAGAGAAUAAUAGUGUGGGGGCCAGUCUUAGCGUGGAAGACACAGAGGCUUGCUCUCUGUGCUGAGUCUAAAGUGGGAAGGGGGGUACAAGUCUGUUAAUGCUGUCCAUCUUUCCAGUGACUUUCUUUCAAAGGAAACCAAACCAGAGCUAUGUGCUAAAAUCUCUCACCACUUGGGAUGCAUGUAGUCAUAUGAAGUUUCAGCUAACUGGAGAACUUUGGAGAUAUGUUUUAAUAUGUUAUAGUUACCUACAUGGCACCGUAGAGUUUACUCUUUACAGACUAACAAGUAAAAAGGUAGGCCUUUGUCCCCCAUCCCCCCCCCAAGUACCUUACAGAGUACAAAAACCACUUCUGGGUUGUGUGGGUGCAGUUGGAUCUUCCUGCCCAAAGUGGUUGCAUUGUGUUUAUGUAUUCAAAUGCUAAGAUAAUCAAUAUUGUACAGUAAAAGCCUGAAUAUUUUAUCAUGUGCUUAGUGAGAAGGGUGGUGCUUGUGAGAUGUGUAAGGAACAAUAAAUCUGCAGCUGCAAUGUAGUUUUGCUUGAGGAUUGGGAAUAAUAAACACUUCCAAAUUAAUCUCUCUAAAGAAAGAGAAUAAAGAGCUCGUUUUAAAAGUACUGUUGCUCAGUAUGAAUGGGCAGGUUCCAGGAUCCAUCCAUGAGCUACAGGCGGUUUGUGAAGGAUCAUCAAGCUGCUGGCAAUGUUUAUCAGUAGGCACACUGAGCAUGUGCAGCCCACAUUGUCUUCUCAGGCACUGGAUAAAUCUUAAGAACAUCUGCAAAUAAACUUAUGGUGACAUUUGAGAAUAAAUGCACGCCAACUUUCUGGUAAGAUUUCAGAUGUACUCAAAUGUAGGUAGCUGUAGUUGCAGCAUUUGAUUGUCGCAUGACAAAAGAACAAGUAUUGCUGGUUCAACUUCCAUGCACCUCCUGACAUUUCCCCUGUUGGUUUGAGGAUGCGAACAUGAAUUUGUAAGGUCAGGAGGAUAUGAACACACCAACCAAUAAUAAAACCUUUUUGUUAGGUCUUCAUUAAAAUGAAUGAUCUUACUGUGAAACAAUGAUACUAUGUUGAUGAGCUUCCGCUACCUGUCUAGGAUCACAUAUCCCAAUCUCUUUAAUUGAGCACUUAACCGCCUUAUUACCUUUUUGAUUUUAAUCACUUGAGAAGGAUAGCAGCUAUCUCCUUUUUAAAGAUAAUUAAGUACAUCCUAAUCUAACGAUAGCUCCCUUGUAAUGUAGCUGCAAAACUGCAUCUGUAAUCCUGCUGUGGCAGAAGUCCAACAGGUAGGGCUUUUCCUAAAUGUGUGGAAAGGAGAUAAACCUAGUGUGUUGUUGUGAGAAAUAAAUAAGUAAAAUCAUUUUUGGCUCUGGGGAACUUAAAAGUACUGUUAACACACACUCUACUUCUCCAAGCAGUGACACUCCAGGGGGUACAGUGAUUAGCAGAUGUUUGGUGUACCGUUUAGAAGGAGGCCACCAGAGGUUUAUUGAUGUUUUGUAAUAUUGGUGCUUAUUUACAAAUCUGCAGGUGGGGAUGCAGCUUAAGCACUCCCAACAGAAAGGCAAAGUCCACAACAGAUCUCUAGUGGGACAGCUAGCACCCUGAAAUGUUUCCAGAACCCCCAAACUCAGCUCUCUUCACUGUUUCUAGCCCUAUUAAGAUGUCCUCUUCAGGAAUGCAUGAAGUAACCUCUCUCCCUAGUCUUUGUGCAAUGAGCACAAGUAUCUGAACUGAUGGAGCCUUAGCGUGACUGCAGUCUUAUCCUUUUGCACAGGCAAUUAGUCCCCUCCCCUUGGUUAGUGGUGGUGUCCUUUUGUCAAAAUGGCUAUCUCAGAACAAUCUCAAAAAGAUGCCAUAUCACAGCCUAACAUUCUCCGUAUACAGUUGGACCCAGCUCCCAUUCUCAUGGACCAUUGGGGCUGAUGGGAGUUAUAGUUCCAAACAUGUAUACAUGAAGGAGUGUCUCCACCACCAUCGUUCAGCCUGGACACUGAGAUCCAGUGCAGAGGGCCUUCUGGCGGUUCUCUCAUUGCGAGAAGUGAGGUUACAGGGAACCAGGCAGAGGGCCUUCUCAGUAGUGGCGCCCACCCUGUGGAAUGCCCUCCUUUCGGAUGUAAAGGAAAUAAGUAGCUAUCUUAUCUUUAAAAGACAUCUGAAGGCAGCCCUGUUUAGGGAAGUUUUUAAAUAUUUAAUGCUGUAUUGUUUUUAACAUUUGAUUGGGAGCCGCCCAGAGUGGCUGGGGAAACUCAGCCAGAUGGGCGGGAUAGAAAUAAUAAAUUGUUAUUGUUAUUGUGUGGAGUGCGCCAGUUUGGUGAACACUGCUGUAUGAAGAAGCAAACUGCUAACUAUUUAGCUCCCAUGGCAACCUUGGUUUCCCUAACAAAAGACAUUUGCUAGGUUAACCUGUCCAGCAGGUCUGCCCAUUAUCCCUUUCCUGUCCCUCCCCCCUCCAUCUUACAACUGUGCACACCCACAAAAUAGGCUGCCUGCUGUGUCCUGCCGCAUGAGUCACUCCUUUCAGCUAGUCUCACUCCAAUAAAGAGGCACACCCGGAACAGUGACUCAACGUCCACACUCAAGGGGUUGUUGUUGCUGGGCUUACAACAUGACAGUCUAGAAGUGAAUGAAAUGCACCUCUAAUUUUAAUUCAAGGUGAGGAGAGAAUAUGCCUGCAGCUAUCAGAGGUUUGGGAAUGCUAUUCUAUGAGGUUGGGGACUUUGGUUGGUUGGGUUCCUUCUGAGUUCAGUCCAGGUGAUGGGAAUGAAUUGGCCUUGGUUGUCCUGACCUUUAGCAGGAGAAAGCAGAGGAGUGCAACCCUCCUAUUCUUAACUGAUCUCUCCAUUAUACCAUUGACCAUGGUAUCCAUCUGCCACGUCUUAGCAGGCUGGGAAACGGAGGCACUGUUUUACUGUGGUUCUGAUCCUAUCUCCAUGGUCAGUUUCAGAAAAUAGCAUUGGAUGGUGGUCAUUUGGCUCCCUGGCCGUUGUGCUGUGAGGUGCCACAGGAUAUCAUCCCGUCCGCAGUGCUGUGUAACAUCUACAUGACAUGGUUGGGAGCAGCUAACAGGAAAUUUGGGGCGAGGUGUCAUCAGUAUGCUGAUGAUACCCAGCUCUAUUUCUCUGUGAAAUCUGACACAAGGGAGGCCAUGCAAGCCUUGGACCAGUGCCUGGACUUGGUGGUAGACUGGAGAAAGGCCAACAAACUGACUCUGAAUCCUGGCAAGACGGAGGCACUGCAAGAGGGUUGUUUCCAAAUCUACAUACUUGGCAAAUUGCCUCCUUUUGGUAGGGUGAAAGAAAGGUAUCUAGUCUGGGGGUUGCUCCUGGAUAUAGCUUUGUCACCUGAAGCCCUGGUGGCCCCAGUAGCUAGGAGUGCUUGUUACAAUCUUUUUAUUAACUAGGGCAUUCCAUGAUUAAACUUGAUCCUGCUGCUGUUUUAUUUUCACAGUGGCUGUGGGUUUGUUUGGUUUUUUUUAGUAUUUGUUCUUAAGCUAUAAAAAAGGUAAAGGACCCCUGGAC
This is a non-coding RNA of Podarcis lilfordi (Lilford's wall lizard), 5934 nucleotides long. NCBI's taxonomy places the organism in Eukaryota, Metazoa, Chordata, Lepidosauria, Squamata, Lacertidae. The record is from the annotation of a GenBank genome assembly.